This is a long non-coding RNA of Zea mays, 777 nucleotides long. RefSeq lists it as uncharacterized. The transcript is spliced from 2 exons. The record is from RefSeq and is a predicted model, not a curated record. NCBI's taxonomy places the organism in Eukaryota, Viridiplantae, Streptophyta, Magnoliopsida, Poales, Poaceae.
CACACCUGCACCAACGCCAUUUCCGUGCCUGGAUAGAUCGUAGGUCUACGAGGUAGCAUCGAAUGGCUCUCCCGUAGGAAGGGUAGAGCCUCCAUGUGGCGGCCUCCAGAUCGCAACUCCGAUUCUUCUUCCCACCCCGCGGUGAGACCCGCCCCAACCCCUUUCUUCUCCCUCUCUAUCCAUCCUCGACCCCUCUCUCGUAAUUAGGAAGGACAGAGCUCAACCAAGGCGCUCCCCUCAGCAGGCACAUCGACAGACCGAAUUUUGGCGAAGAGAACGCUUGGAGCACCUCUAUCCCCUCCACAAUGGAGGCCAGGUACACGGCAACCGUGCUAGGGAACAACACUGAUUUGAUGUCGUUUUGGAGGAUCUACGCCCUCGUGGCAUGCUUGGUGGCCGGACUUGCCCUCACCUCUAUCCCCUCUAGGCCUCCGUGAUGGAGGCUGGGUACUCAGCGGCCAUGGCAUGCUUGGUGGCCGGAUCCUGUAAUGUUUAUAGUGUUCCAUUUUGUUGAUCCAAGCCACCAAUGGAGUAAAAGCUGGAGUAUUUUUUCCAAUUGGUUAUACGUGUCAGUUUUCUUGUUUCUGUGCUGAGAUACUGGUGAACCUGUAGGUGCCUGAGUCAUUUUGGGGCAUUCUAAUCGUAGAGCUCUGUUGGGGUGAAUCCAGUGAUGUGAGUACCUUUUAAACUAUCAUGGUAUGAUUUAUAUUCUCUAUUGACAACUCACAUUUUUGUGCUAUUUUGCUUGAUGCUUGGAAGAAUCUGUUGUUUGGUUUA